Molecule: microRNA precursor, 171 nt
Filed under: Sorghum bicolor (sorghum)
Lineage: Eukaryota; Viridiplantae; Streptophyta; Magnoliopsida; Poales; Poaceae
Description: pre miRNA MIR2118
Rfam family: MIR2118 microRNA precursor family
Source: Rfam by way of RNAcentral
GCCUGGAAUAGGAAGAUCGAGAGGGCCUAAGAACAGUAGGAAUGGGAACAUGGAGGAAAGCCUUACCUAUUUGUUUCCUCCUCUAUCUACAGAGGUAGAAGCUUGGUUUGGUAUUUCCCGAUGACUCCCACUCCUUUCGUUCUUAAGCACUCCUUCCUUUUCCUUAUGGCU